This 253-nucleotide ribosomal RNA is filed under the name uncultured bacterium. RNAcentral's name for it is "partial 16S ribosomal RNA". It matches the Rfam family "Bacterial small subunit ribosomal RNA", at positions 524 to 776 of the family's 1533-position model. The record is from RNAcentral.
UACAGAGGGUGCGAGCGUUAAUCGGAGUUACUGGGCGUAAAGGGCGCGUAGGCGGUUUUAAGAGUGUGAUGUGAAAGCCCCGGGCUUAACCUGGGAAGCGCAUCGCAAACGAUAAGACUGGAGUGCAGGAGAGGGUGGCGGAAUUUCCGGUGUAGCGGUGAAAUGCGUAGAGAUCGGAAGGAACGUCAAUGGCGAAGGCAGCCACCUGGCCUGACACUGACGCUGAGGCGCGAAAGCGUGGGGAGCGAACAGG